GGUUCUAUUUUGUUGGUUUCUAGGAUCGCCGUAAUGAUUAAUAGGGAUAGUUGGGGGCAUUAGUAUUCAGUUGCUAGAGGUGAAAUUCUUGGAUUUACUGAAGACUAACUACUGCGAAAGCAUUUGCCAAGGAUGUUUUCAUUAAUCAAGAACGAAGGUUAGGGGAUCGAAAACGAUCAGAUACCGUUGUAGUCUUAACAGUAAACUAUGCCGACUAGGGAUCGGGCGAUGUUAUUUUUUUGACUCGCUCGGCACCUUACGAGAAAUCAAAGUCUUUGGGUUCUGG
RNAcentral lists this ribosomal RNA (286 nucleotides) under Pelagomonas calceolata. Its description in RNAcentral is "partial Eukaryotic small subunit ribosomal RNA". It matches the Rfam family "Eukaryotic small subunit ribosomal RNA", at positions 832 to 1117 of the family's 1831-position model. The record is from RNAcentral. Lineage: Eukaryota; Pelagophyceae; Pelagomonadales; Pelagomonadaceae.